GGUCAUUUAAACUUACUGUAUAUGUCAAAUUCAUCAGAACAUCAUCAUCAGCUGAUGAGCAACAUCUUCAGUGCUGUGUGGAUCUACAGUUGGAUUCUAGAUGUGUUUAUGAAGUACUAUGAACACCAUAUUUGUACCAUCGUCAACUAAUGAGUAACGAACAUCAACAGUCAGAUUCCAGUGCUAAUUUCCAAGACUUUCUGAGACCAUGACGCAACUCAACAACAGCUCUGAUGUAUUCAACGCGUCACAUAAAAUGAACCAAACUGAUAAAAUAGAGAAUGCGGAAGCAGUGUUUAUCUGGAUUGUGAGCUUCUUUGGGAUUCCAAUCAUCUGCUUGACCCUGUUUGCAUUGUGUUUUCUCAUCAAGUCUCAUCGUGCUGCUUCUGUUUAUGUGAUACAUUUGAUUCUUUCAGAUCUGUUACAGAUUGGUUUUAUAAACGUAUUAACAACCGAAUUAGCGAGGGCUGCAUUGUGGAGUGCAUAUAAGUAUUGUUUGGUUGUUGGCUUGUUUUUCAUGGCAUUUAUUGCUAUUGAAAGAUACAUUUUAGUUUCCCAUCCUCACUGGUACAGAUCUCACCAUUCAGUAAAAAUGUCCUGUUUUAUUUCUUUAAUUAUCUGGUUAAUGCCUUUGACCUUUAUAAAAAUUAGAGAACAAGCUAUGUUUACCGUGUUAUCCCAAAGUCUGGCAUCUUUUAUUCCUUACCCAAUAAUACUCCUGUGUUUUGUUGGUACUUGGAGGGGUCUCUCUCAUGCAAAAUCACUUACUUCUCAAAAGCGGAAAUUAAUUUUGGGCAGUCUGUCUCUUGUGCUGCUGAAUUACACAUUUCUUAUCCUUCCUCUCUCAAUCUCAAGUUUGUGUUUGGAGUUUUUGAAUCCUCCACCUCCUACUGCUGUGAAUGUUUAUCUGUUUUGUCACUUUUUCUUGUAUCUCA
This is a long non-coding RNA of Cyprinus carpio (common carp), 935 nucleotides long. RefSeq lists it as uncharacterized. The transcript has 3 exons. NCBI's taxonomy places the organism in Eukaryota, Metazoa, Chordata, Actinopteri, Cypriniformes, Cyprinidae. The record is from RefSeq and is a predicted model, not a curated record.